GAUCGAAUAUUCUUAUACUAAUAUCAAGAAUAUACCUAAACUAAAAUCUAAACAUACAUAUGGCGAUGGCGAUGGCGACGGCGAUAACUUUCUAGGGUUUCCAUGCUUUUUCGACGACGGGAUCCGGGCAAUCAGUGGAGGAUACAGGAUCGAGUAGAUCUUUGCCAGGACGACAAGAUCAGAGUGACAUAGAAUCGACAAGGGUAUAUGGUUACAAGGGUUUUACCGAAAUCGCUACGAGAUUUCUCGGAUUCACGAAGGAUUUUUUUGGUAUACGGGGAAGAUUGGGAUUGAUAGGCUUCGGCUAUCAUUAAGAGGCACAUCACAGGAGGAGCUAGAUCGGUCUUGCAGCGGCUCAAAAAGGGAAAUAAGUCCUUUGCGCAAUAUACGAGAGGAACCACAUGAAGAAGGAGAGAUUCAGGAGAACGUGUUACGAAGCGUUCAAAAGGGGGAGGAGCAGAUAACUAAGCCAAUCCCUUCAUUGCCCAGCUGGAAACAAACCUGGCUCAAACAGACCCUACAGAGCAAGACAAUUUCUCUGCCUGGCUUCAUCAACCCAGUUGCAGAGAUCCAGCUUGGGUAUUACAACGGCUAUGGAACUCUUCUUCAUGGUGGCACAGGUGGACGAUAUGGUAUCAAUAAAGCUUGAUGUUUAUCAUCAUCCUGUUGUAAUUACAAUUCUUUCAGAACAAAUGAGGAGUACGUAUGAUGUUUGGAUGGUAUAUAUGGUCAAUGGAAAGAGUUUCAGGAAAGGAAACAAUUCUGUUACUGAUCUGAGCGGAAGAGGGGCCGAGAGAACAUGGUCUCUGGUUUACGUAAAUUGGUUUGCUACGGAUUAUUAUUCGUAUAAUGCACUAGAGUUUGAUUUUGGGGAUGGGUUAUAUUUUCUAAUACAAACCUUCUUGUGGAAGCGGUUUUCUUUGGUCUGGAGGCUCAGGGAUGCAAAAGGUCGAGGGAUUUUACAAAUCCGGUUACGUAGUGACGGCAUGAGACAUCUUACUAUGCUACUUCUCAUGUGUUUGGCCUCCUUAAGUCAAACACAUACACUAUUGAAGUACACUGAGAAAACGGUUAUGGGUGUGGAUUAUGGGUGCAUGGUUUUUCAAAUGAUGUUAAUAUGGUCUGUUUCUGAUGAUUUUGUCAAGUUGGAAAUGUUUGGUAUGGAGUGGACUCAACAGUUAAUGCAAAUAUGGAGUGUUUAUUUUGAUCAAGGCAACUGUAUGGAUAUUUCUCAGUCGUGGUCUUUGUGGAAAUAUUAUGUUGAUACAAAUGAUAUUUCUUAAGUACUCUUGGGUCGUCUCGUUAUGUGUUGUUCAAGAUGUUGCGUUUGUCGGGUCCAUUAUAUUAAUGCUUCCAAAUUUAUCAUCUUGGGUGGAAAAUGUAUUAGCCUUAUGCUCCCUUAUUGAUUAUAUUUUUUAUCGGAAAA
This is a long non-coding RNA of Brassica oleracea var. oleracea, 1426 nucleotides long. RefSeq lists it as uncharacterized. The transcript is spliced from 2 exons. NCBI's taxonomy places the organism in Eukaryota, Viridiplantae, Streptophyta, Magnoliopsida, Brassicales, Brassicaceae. The record is from RefSeq and is a predicted model, not a curated record.